This 1058-nucleotide long non-coding RNA is filed under the name Malus domestica (apple). RNAcentral's name for it is "long non-coding RNA (MDOM_LNC014816)". Lineage: Eukaryota; Viridiplantae; Streptophyta; Magnoliopsida; Rosales; Rosaceae. The record is from RNAcentral.
ACGGUGCAGUCAGAGAGGUGACCAAAGAAAGUAAGUUUACCUGCCGGGACUGUAUGUGGGGCUUGAGGGAGAGUAAGAUGGAGAUGUGGGGGAAUAUGAUGGUGAGGUUGGGCUGCAAAAGAAAAGAAAACAUCAAUGGUAGGCUACAUGAGAUUUCCUCAACACAAUAAUUAUAAUAAUUGGAAAAGACAGAGGCAGCAAAACAGAGAAUUAGAAACUGGAGACUAAUCAACUGUGAGAGUAAUAAUCCUACGCAUCAGCCCACAUACAGCAAUUCUAAUACCAUAAGUGCAGUUCAAAAGAUAGCUCACCUGUAGUUCGGAGAGGUAGGACUGUAUGGACUAGAUGGUGACAAUCUUGGACUGCUUGGAGAGUAAGCUGAUGACGGACUGUACUUGGCAGACUGAGGAUUAUAGCUUGGAGAUGUAGGGCUGUAACUGGGCGAGGUUGGACUAUAACUAGGCGAGGUUGGGCUGUAACCAGGAGAAGUUGGGCUGUAGGCUGGCGAGGUAGGGCUGUAGGAUGGAGAUGUUGGACUGUAGGAAGGAGAAGUUGGGCUGUAGGAAGGCGAAGUUGGGCUGUAGGAUGGCGAAGUUGGGCUGUAGGAAGGAGACGUGGGACUGUAAGAUGGCGAAGUGGGGCUAUAUGCGGGGGAAGUGGGGCUGUAAGCAGGUGAAGUGGGGCUGUAAGCAGGGGAAGUAGGGCUGUAGCUUGGUGAAGUGGGGCUGUAGCUUGGAGAGGUGGGGCUGUAGCUGGGAGAGGUUGGCGAGUAUGAUGGACUCGUAGGAGAGUAAGCUGGACUGGUGGGACUAUAGCCGGAGAACUAGGACUAUAUGUCGGAGAGGUGGGACUGUACCCAGGAGAAGUGGGGCUAUACCCUGGAGAGGUGGGACUGUAGCCAGGAGAAGUGGGGCUGUAUCCAGGGGAGGAAGGGCUGUAUCCAGGGGAUGAUGGGCUGUAGCCUGGAGAGGAAGUAGGAGAGAAUGCCAUUCCUCCAACAUAAGGAGAAAACUGAGCAUCCGAAAUUGGUGACAGCCGAAGAUUUGGGCUCAGCAAAU